Molecule: transfer RNA, 74 nt
Filed under: Ruminococcus sp.
Lineage: Bacteria; Bacillati; Bacillota; Clostridia; Eubacteriales; Oscillospiraceae
Description: tRNA-Met
Rfam family: tRNA
About the family: Transfer RNA (tRNA) molecules are approximately 80 nucleotides in length.
Source: RNAcentral
CGCGGAGUGGAGCAGCACGGUAGCUCGUCGGGCUCAUAACCCGAAGGUCGUAGGUUCAAAUCCUGCCUCCGCAA